This 406-nucleotide ribosomal RNA is filed under the name uncultured bacterium. RNAcentral describes it as "partial 16S ribosomal RNA". It matches the Rfam family "Bacterial small subunit ribosomal RNA", at positions 30 to 526 of the family's 1533-position model. The record is from RNAcentral.
AUUGAACGCUGGCGGCAGGCUUAACACAUGCAAGUCGAACGAGUGGCGGACGGGUGAGUAAUGCUUGGGAAUCUAGCUUAUGGAGGGGGAUAACUACGGGAAACUGUAGCUAAUACCGCGUACCAUAGGCUGAGCCCAAGUGGGAUUAGCUAGUUGGUGAGGUAAAGGCGCACCAAGCCGACGAUCCCUAGCUGGUCUGAGAGGAUGACCAGCCAAACGGGGACUGAGACACGGUCCAGAAACCUACGUGAGGCAGCAGUGGAGAAUAUUGCACAAUGGGCGCAAGCAUGAUGCAGCCAUGCCGCGUGUAUGAAGAAGGACUUAGGGUUGUAAAGUACAUUCAGCGGGGAUGAGUUACCGGCAGAAGAAGCACCGGCUAACUCCGUGCCAGCAGCCGCGGUAAUUC